RNAcentral lists this ribosomal RNA (164 nucleotides) under uncultured bacterium. Its description in RNAcentral is "partial 16S ribosomal RNA". It matches the Rfam family "Bacterial small subunit ribosomal RNA", at positions 355 to 511 of the family's 1533-position model. The record is from RNAcentral.
UAGGGAAUCUUCGGCAAUGGACGAAAGUCUGACCGAGCAACGCCGCGUGAGUGAAGAAGGUUUUCGGAUCGUAAAACACUGUUGUAAGAGAAGAAUGACAUUGAGAGUAACUGUUCAAUGUGUGACGGUAUCUUACCAGAAAGGAACGGCUAAAUACGUGCCAG